GGCAAAGACCUGUUGAGAUAAUUCGUGUAGUGGUGCAUGUGUGUGUGUGUGCGUGCGUGAAGUUAUGUCUGUUACAGAGUACAAGGAGUUUGAAUAAAAGAGGGAGAAAAUGAACUUUACAUUUUUAUUUUUAUUACUACUGUGCGUGGGUGGCAUGAGAAGGUGCAUGCCACGGUGCCUGUAUGGAGGUCAGGAGACAACUUUAUGGAGUCAGUUCUCUCCUUCUACCGUUACACGGGUUCUGGGGAUUGAUCCCAAGUUGUCAAGUUUGUGUGUCUGGUGCCUUUACCCACCGAACCAUCUUGUCAACUCUUUUAAAACUUAAAAAAACAAAAACAAAAACAAAAAACCAAAACAAUAGUAACUUUUGGGGAGCGCCCUUUCUGGACUUACUGCUUUAUUCACAGGAUCAGAAUCAGAAAGUGUGGGCCGGGAAGCCCUCAGUGUGUGUGCCACAGCAGGCUGGGAUUGACUGAGAGAGGAAAGGAGUGUCCCCAUAUGAGACGGCAUGAUGAGGCUCUUGGAAAGGGGUUCAUGGAGGUGCAGGUCCCACCAGACACAUGAAGAUAUCAGAUCGCCAAUAGGAGAGGGGAGAGCCUCGGGGCAUAAAGUUAUAAAGAUGGGAAGGUUCUGGGAGGUCAGACUGGCAGAGGUUCUUACAGAUGUGCCCGCAGCUGUAUGGGAGUGAUUGAUUCAUAUUUCUACCUGCACGCCCAGCGUUGGUUGUGAGGUGUCCCUGGGUAAAUUUGGAGUGGCCUGUACCUUGUCCCUACUCUGGUUCCUGCAUGGCUCUUGCACUAGAGCAAAUCUGGAAGGCU
RNAcentral lists this long non-coding RNA (818 nucleotides) under Rattus norvegicus (Norway rat). RNAcentral describes it as "long non-coding RNA NONRATT028774". Lineage: Eukaryota; Metazoa; Chordata; Mammalia; Rodentia; Muridae. The record is from RNAcentral.